GAGCAAAUGAUGAAACAUUUUGUCAUCGUCUGAGAUUCUCUCCGUGAAGUCUCUGCAAAAUCGAGCUUUUUAAAACUGAUGCUCU
This 85-nucleotide small nucleolar RNA is filed under the name Zostera marina. Lineage: Eukaryota; Viridiplantae; Streptophyta; Magnoliopsida; Alismatales; Zosteraceae. The record is from RNAcentral.